Molecule: ribosomal RNA, 253 nt
Filed under: uncultured bacterium
Lineage: Bacteria
Description: partial 16S ribosomal RNA
Rfam family: Bacterial small subunit ribosomal RNA
Source: RNAcentral
UACGAGGGGGGCGAGCGUUGUUCGGAAUUAUUGGGCGUAAAGGGUGCGUAGGCGGUUCCGCAAGUCCUGUGUGAAAUCUUCGGGCUCAACUCGAAGUCUGCACGGGAAACUGCGGGGCUUGAGUGUGGGAGAGGUGAGUGGAAUUCCCAGUGUAGAGGUGAAAUUCGUAGAUAUUGGGAAGAACACCGGUGGCGAAGGCGGCUCACUGGCCCGUUACUGACGCUCAGGCGCGACAGCGUGGGGAUCAAACAGG